Molecule: long non-coding RNA, 754 nt
Organism: Scleropages formosus (Asian bonytongue)
Lineage: Eukaryota; Metazoa; Chordata; Actinopteri; Osteoglossiformes; Osteoglossidae
Exons: 3
Source: RefSeq, a predicted model, not a curated record
ACCUCUGCUCUGCCGCUGCUUGUGUCACUUAUGCUUAUGCUAUGACAGCCUGGGAGGGAAGCGCAGUAGCGCUCUUGUUGAGAGUUGCUAAGUAAAGAUGUAGCGUAAAUGAAAUUUGCCCCAGAGGAGCUGGACAUCGACGUCAUCAUCAUUAAUAACAGGCGGGGGAAGCUACUAGCUAGCUGUAACGGUAAAGUAAUUAAAAGUGAUGAGGAUGAGGACGACGUGCUCUUUUUCCACGUCUUUUCCAAUAUGAAUAUCUGCUGUGCGUGGUUUGGCAGUGAAGGGCCGAUGUAACGUUUCGAUCAGGCUGUGUGUGUCGUUUGUUUGUUUGUUUGUUUGUGGGCCACGGACGGAGCACAGAAAAUGGCGCUCAUGGUGUGUCCUCUCCUCAACUGCCCUCAUCUGUGUCCUCAUCGUCGGCCCUUUUGUCUCACUGCUCGCUCGAGGAGGAUCCGACUGAUGAUGUCAUCAUGUGAUCCCCAGGGUGCCUGGUCUCCAGCCUGAUCUACUGGAAAUCCUCCCUCUGGCUGAGCCACACCUGGUUCUUCUGUGUUUGCUGUGUUUAUGGAAUCAUGACUACGGCACCGGUGAGCAUGGAAUCCUCUUAAGCUCAGUGUGACGCACACAGGCUUACAGCACAGAAGAAGGGGUAUCCGUGCCAUGGUCGAUCUCAGCAGGACUGCAUCAGAAAGAUGACUCCACAUUUCUUCCUUGUUCUUCUUCUGUUACCUCUGCAAGUAUUCCCUGAAGG